RNAcentral lists this ribosomal RNA (429 nucleotides) under uncultured bacterium. RNAcentral's name for it is "bacterial SSU rRNA". It matches the Rfam family "Bacterial small subunit ribosomal RNA", at positions 355 to 776 of the family's 1533-position model. The record is from RNAcentral.
UGGGGAAUAUUGGACAAUGGGGGCAACCCUGAUCCAGCAAUGCCGCGUGUGUGAAGAAGGCCUGAGGGUUGUAAAGCACUUUCAGUGGGGAGGAGGAUUGUUAGGUUAAGAGCUGAAUGAUUGGACGUUACCCACAGAAGAAGCACCGGCUAACUCCGUGCCAGCAGCCGCGGUAAUACGGAGGGUGCAAGCGUUAAUCGGAAUUACUGGGCGUAAAGGGUUCGUAGGUGGUUGGAUAAGUUAUCUGUAAAAUCCCUGGGCUUAACCUGGGCAGGUCAGAUAAGACUGUUUGACUCGAGUAUUGGAGAGGGUAGUGGAAUUUCCGGUGUAGCGGUGAAAUGCGUAGAGAUCGGAAGGAACACCAGUGGCGAAGGCGGCUACCUGGCCAAAUACUGACACUGAGGAACGAAAGCGUGGGGAGCAAACAGG